Molecule: non-coding RNA, 1746 nt
Organism: Paramuricea clavata
Lineage: Eukaryota; Metazoa; Cnidaria; Anthozoa; Malacalcyonacea; Plexauridae
Source: the annotation of a GenBank genome assembly
CACUUUUUUAAUGCGCAUGCGCGACCCUCUGGCAAGUGUCAUGCACAUUUUUUAUCAGGAAAAAGAUAGGGAAAUGCAAAAUUUUGGCAGUAAAACGGCGAUUUUAAGCGCAGUAAACGAUCUAUCUUCAUUUUGUGCACGAAUUUUGCAAAUAAAUGGCACACUGCGUCUUCUUAGCAAAAGGGAAUUGAACGAAUACCAUUUUUAACGGCGAAAAUGAGAAAAGACACCCGAAGGAGUGAGAAUUUCUGGCAAUCUGAAGAUUCGAUUCUGUAGACCUGAACUCCAGCUGGAACUUGGCAACUUUAUAUGUGAGUUUUUUUUCUCUAGCUCAUAUAUAUCAAAUUAUCAAUAUAUUUUUGUCAAGUGCAAUGUUGUAUCAAAGGGUUGUCGUUAAUUUAAACAUUGCAUAAACAACAUCCAGAUACGAAAAUGAACAUCAACAUUCAACAUGGACUGAUGGAGUCAAGGACAUGGAGCCACAGUACUCUAGUACUACUAUAUUUAACUUAUAUGUUGACCCAGUGUUGGGGGAUUGGUCAAAUUAUACUUUAUAGUGAUUCCCCUAGAUUAGUGCAUUGGUUAUUGUGCAAUGACAACCUUUUUUCAGAGACCUCUCAAAGGUCAAUUUCUCAGACAUGCCAAGUCACUGUACAUGUUUAAUAAUCUAAUCUGUUUAUUUAUUUUGUUUAUUUUUCUAGAUUGCCAAUCAUUCCUGUUGAACUACAUUAUUCAUUUCAAUGAAUCAGAUGCAGAAUCUUACAACUAUGGUUAAUUUGUUCAAAUUUGUUCACCUGAUUGGGGAAAACCUGACACUAUUUGAUCUUAUUAGUUAUUGGAAUGCCUAUCAAAUUUACAUAGCCUCAGGCAAUGUUUAUAUAAUUCAUCUCGAGUAAUAGAGAUGCUGUACCCCCUGAGGGAGUGACCCUACUACCUGGAUCAUCUCACUAGGCAAGACAGGUUCAAAACUUUCCAUGCAUUUAACACUUGCAUGGCAGUUGCUAUAAUAGGAUAUGAUAGUUGCUAUAAUAGGAUAAUAUAAUUUUGCCUUGCCAGGGUGGCUCAGGGGAUAGGAUUUCCCUAGUACCUGGAGACCAUAUAAACAGGCCUUCAGAUUACUGUAAUAGUUUACUGUAAUGGAGGGUUAAAAAAGCACCCCCCCCCCAUGUAAAAGUGCAUGGUAGGCCUGCUCCCCAAUCCAGCCCCCCUUGGAAGAUGUACUGCAGUAAAGCUAGACAAUUUUACUUGUUAACCCAUUGAGUCACUUUGCGCCCUACUUUAUUAUUUUACUCUGUCUAUUGUCUAACACCAGACGAUCCAGUUAACCUAUUGAGUUACAUUGUGCCCUGAUGCACCCUACUUUAUUAUUUUACUCUGUCUAACGCCAGACGAUUUUACUUGUCAAGGGGAGAGCACACUUUAACAGGGAAAGGAUUAAUUGGGAAUACUUUCUCUAAACUAUUUAUCAAUGAAAGGAACAAUGCAAUUAUUCAUAGUAUGUAACUUUUUAGAUAAAGCAAAGACUGUAGGAGGAAACAUGGAUCAUUGGCUACUUUUUUUAUUUAGUAUUAAUUUCCAUGACAGCAUGUGGGGUCAACUAUAAAGGAAACAGUUAUUGCCUAUUUUGGAAUAAAAAAUUUAGAAUAUAGCAAUAUUCAUUGACAUUGAACACAUAUUUAUUUAGUUUUUGAAUAAUUUAAGUUCUUAAAUGUAUAUAAAUGUGAAAUAAAAUAAACAACAUUUAUU